This 314-nucleotide long non-coding RNA is filed under the name Salmo salar (Atlantic salmon). Its description in RNAcentral is "lncRNA (ENSSSAG00000111311.1)". The record is from RNAcentral. Lineage: Eukaryota; Metazoa; Chordata; Actinopteri; Salmoniformes; Salmonidae.
AUUCAAGGUGGACGAAUGCAUACUCUUUUAUAACGUAUUGGAACGAGGGUACCCAACAUGAACUCGCGCGCCAGGUGUCUAAUGGGACAUCAUCGUUCCAUGGCUCUUGUUCGGUCAGAUCUCCCUCCAGAAGACUCAACACUUUGUAAAGGCUGGUGACAUCUAGUGGAAGCAAUAGGAAGUGCCAAAAUAUUCCUAAACCCCUGUGUUUUUCAAUGGGAUAGGUUUAAAGUCAAUACAACACAUCAGGUAUCCACUUCCUGUCAGAAAAUGUCUCAGGGUUUUGCCUGCCAAAUGAGUUCUCUUAUACUCAC